This 400-nucleotide ribosomal RNA is filed under the name phytoplankton environmental sample. RNAcentral describes it as "partial small subunit ribosomal RNA". It matches the Rfam family "Eukaryotic small subunit ribosomal RNA", at positions 587 to 980 of the family's 1831-position model. The record is from RNAcentral.
AGCUCCAAUAGCGUAUAUUAAAGUUGUUGCAGUUAAAAAGCUCGUAGUUGGAUUUCUGUUUUGAACAAUCGGUCCGUUGGCGUAAGCUAAUGUGUACUUGUGUUGUUUGAUUCAUCUUUUGUGAGGAGGUUUAUCUGGCAUUAAGUUGUUGGGUUUUCAUACUUGCAUCGUUUACUGUGAAAAAAUUAGAGUGUUUAAAGCAGGCGUUUGCUUUCGAAUACAUUAGCAUGGAAUAAUAAGAUACGACCUUGGUGGUCUAUUUUGUUGGUUUGCACACCAGGGUAAUGAUUAAUAGGGACAGUUGGGGGUAUUUAUAUUUCAGCGUCAGAGGUGAAAUUCUUGGAUCGCUGAAAGAUAAACUUAGGCGAAAGCAUUUACCAUGGAUGUUUUCAUUAAUCAA